CCUUUAUUCUCUCUCUCUCUCCCUCUCGAUCUCUCUCUCUCUCUCCUGUUCUCGGGUUGUGUGUGUGUGCUGUGUGAGGGUGGCGGCGGCUGAGGGAUGGGGAAAAUGGGGCGGUGCGGAGGCUUCGAUCUAAGUUGUAUUUUGUUAAGUUUUUGUGUGAAUUGUGGAAACUGAAUAUUUUACAGAUGUUCAUUGAAAUGCUUGAGAUUUCAUAUGGAUGUCUUGACAUUCUAUUUUUAUUGAGUUAUCCUUUAAAUUUGUGGGUUAGUUUAGAUGAGAUUCAUGUCAAGAUUAAUGGAAAAUUAUUCUGAUUUUGUUGUGUUAUGGUGCUCCUAAUUUCUUACAUGUAGAUUGAUUGGCUCUCUGUUAUAAUUCCAUCUUUUCCUUUAUGAAAUUGAAAAUUUAUGAUUGGAUUGGAUUGGUGAUGAGGUCUAGGAGGUUUAAUCUGGUUGAUUCUUUUUAUUGGCUACUGGUGUUAGAUUUUAGAAGUUUUGAUUAUCUCUUGUGCUGAUCACUCCAAUUAAUCUGAGGAGAGCUUAUGCUAAAGUAAACUGUAAGCUUACUCACAACCAAAAUACAAAUCUAGAGACAAUUUGAACCUACCAGAAUUCAAUUAUCAGAUACUGGAUACUGCACUUGGUGCUUUUAUUUGAUAACUUCUUUUUAUUUAUGGCAAACCAUUCAAAGACUCGAAGACAGCAAGGUGAUGAAAAACUGGCUUCUGCAUCCGAUUGGAGAAUGUAACUUGCAGCUAUUUGCUCUUGUUUCAUUAUGGAUAUCAAGCAAAAUACAUGAUUCACCUUCUCUGUCUGUUAAAAAUUUCAAAUCCUUGGGAGACAACUUUAUCAAGGAGCAACAUUUCACCAUGGGGGAUAUUUUGGAAGCUUAAUCGAGUUUCUUUAAGGUUCUGCAAUUUGGGAUUGGCAUGUCGAAAAUUGCUUUUGCUUCAGUUGAAGAGCUUCUUGUUCAAUUCAAGUAAGCUUCGUGACCAACAAGGAGUUCUUUCUGCCCCUUCAGUUUGAAACUGCUUUCUAAACUAAUGUGUAAAUUCUAAUUGGGGAAUUUUUAUUUUUUGGUUAACUUAGGGCAGUUGCCCAAGUUGGGGAGCAUGUGAAGUUUGAAGCUUGUAUAGAUGUUAUGGAUCUGCUUUAUGAAAAUGAAGAGUAUUGCUGUAGAAUACAGAAUCACUACCUAUGUAGUUAUAGAAAGAUUUAGGUUGUUAAUAUCUUUCAUAUUUCUUUUAUUUAAGAAGCUCGGGUUGGCUAUGUUUUGCAGGUGAACUCGCUCGUGUUGGUGGAGGCUCAUUAGUGUAAUUGAGUUUAUCAUCUUGGCGGAUCAAGUAGAUGGGAGUCGAUGAGCUAUGAGGACUACUACAAAAGAGAAGGCUGAAGCAGAGAACGUCGUUUCAAAUGUCUAGCAAGUUGCGCGCAUUUGUAAUAUUUUUUAAUUAAUCAUAUAGCUAACUAGAAUAUUUGUGUUGUUUUCAUUAUAUUUGGAUGAUAAUGUAUGAAUAUUUCGGAUGUUAUAUAAUAUAUGUUAUCGAUGGCAA
Molecule: RNA transcript, 1549 nt
Organism: Salvia miltiorrhiza (redroot sage)
Lineage: Eukaryota; Viridiplantae; Streptophyta; Magnoliopsida; Lamiales; Lamiaceae
Gene name: cyclin-J18-like
Exons: 4
Source: RefSeq, a predicted model, not a curated record